AGUCCCAGGCCCCAGGGCGAAGGCGGCCAGGGGAAAUGGGGCUCAGGGAUUGCUAAGCAAACGCAUCACUGGUGGUCUCCAGCGCCUGCGGAGUAUCUUUUGCUGCCUCUUACGUAUUGUAGGCAGUGCCUGAUGGCUGAGAAGAAUCGCAGAGGACUAGAAAAGGUUUGAGUCUGAAAUUAUCUGGCACAGAGGAUUAAAGCUCAGAAAUAAGUGAUUGCGAAACAGUUCAACUUCCCUGUUAAUGACAACAACAACAGCAACACGCUUAUUAAUUCCUAGCUGGAGCAUCAAGCUUAUGAAGAUUUCCAAGACUUUAUUGUUGACCCUUGUUGAAGAGAACUCUACUUGGCUUCUUUCCUGGCUUUCCUAAAUUGUUCACAUACAAGAUAAACUACCGUCAUUCAGACUUACAGAAGUGAGAAGACAAGCUGAACCAAAUGUAAAAUGG
This 451-nucleotide long non-coding RNA is filed under the name Homo sapiens (human). RNAcentral describes it as "non-protein coding MALINC1:58". The record is from RNAcentral. Lineage: Eukaryota; Metazoa; Chordata; Mammalia; Primates; Hominidae.